CAGGCUUAACACAUGCAAGUCGAGCGGGGGAAGGUAGCUUGCUACCGGACCUAGCGGCGGACGGGUGAGUAACGCGUGGGAAUCUGCCCUCUGGUACGGAAUAACUCAGGGAAACUUGAGCUAAUACCGUAUAAUGACUUCGAUCCAAAGAUGUAUCGCCUGAGGAUGAGCCCGCGUUGGAUUAGCGAGUUGGUGGGGUAAAGGCCUACAAAGGCGAAGAUCCAUAGCUGGUCUGAGAGGAUGAUCAGCCACACUGGACGGAGACACGGCCCAGACUCCUACGGGAGGCAGCAGUGGGGAAUAUUGGACAAUGGGCGCAAGCCUGAUCCAGCCAUGCCGCGUGAGUGAUGAAGGCCCUAGGGUUGUAAAGCUCUUUCACCGGUGAAGAUAAUGACGGCAACCGGAGAAGAAGCCCCGGCUAACUUCGUGCCAGCAGCCGCCGUAA
Molecule: ribosomal RNA, 445 nt
Filed under: uncultured bacterium
Lineage: Bacteria
Description: partial 16S ribosomal RNA
Rfam family: Bacterial small subunit ribosomal RNA
Source: RNAcentral